GUGGACUACACGGGUUUCUAAUCCUGUUCGAUCCCCACGCUUUCGUGCAUCAGCGUCAAUCCAUUAGUAGUAACCUGCCUUCGCAAUUGGUAUUCCAUGUAAUCUCUAAGCAUUUCACCGCUACACUACAUAUUCUAGUUACUUCCUAAUAAUUCAAGUCUUGCAGUAUCAAUGGCCGUUCCACCGUUGAGCGAUGGGCUUUCACCACUGACUUACAAAACCGCCUACGGACCCUUUAAACCCAAUGAUUCCGGAUAACGCUUGGAUCCUCCGUAUUACCGCGGCUGCUGACAC
This 294-nucleotide unclassified non-coding RNA is filed under the name uncultured Flavobacteriaceae bacterium. RNAcentral's name for it is "contains 16S-23S intergenic spacer region". The record is from RNAcentral. Lineage: Bacteria; Pseudomonadati; Bacteroidota; Flavobacteriia; Flavobacteriales; Flavobacteriaceae.